GGAUGUUAGGGCUAUCUGACUGCGACAUCUGUCACCCCAUUGAUCACCAGGGUUGAUUUGGUUGAUCUGGCUGGCUAGGUGGGUGUCUCCUUCCUCCCUCACCGCUCCAUGUGUAUCCCUCCUGAAGUGGCACGCUUGGUCGAAGAGGACGGCCUUCCCCGAAUAGAGACAGACUGGUCUUUGUUCAGGGGUAUAGCUGUAUAGUAGCUGUGCUUCCCUUCUAGAACCUCCAGACAAACUCUCAAUCCUCCACACCGCCAUAAGCCAGAGCUGAGCAGUGCUGUGGUAAAAUAAUAAUAAUAAUAUCUUAAAAAUACACCUUUACUAUAGUGAUCCAAUAUGGCAAGUGGU
Molecule: unclassified non-coding RNA, 351 nt
Organism: Erinaceus europaeus (western European hedgehog)
Lineage: Eukaryota; Metazoa; Chordata; Mammalia; Eulipotyphla; Erinaceidae
Gene: 7SK
Rfam family: 7SK RNA
About the family: 7SK was discovered as an abundant small nuclear RNA in the mid-70s but a possible function has only recently been suggested. Two independent studies have found that 7SK RNA binds the CDK9/cyclin T complex (known as elongation factor P-TEFb).
Source: Ensembl